RNAcentral lists this small RNA (554 nucleotides) under Microascus croci. RNAcentral's name for it is "eukaryotic LSU rRNA". It matches the Rfam family "Eukaryotic large subunit ribosomal RNA", at positions 50 to 624 of the family's 3401-position model. Lineage: Eukaryota; Fungi; Ascomycota; Sordariomycetes; Microascales; Microascaceae. The record is from RNAcentral.
GCGGAGGAAAAGAAACCAACAGGGAUUGCCCCAGUAACGGCGAGUGAAGCGGCAACAGCUCAAAUUUGAAAUCUGGUCCCCUUGCGGGGCCCGAGUUGUAAUUUGAAGAGGAUGCUUCUGGCAAGGUGCCUUCCGAGUUCCCUGGAACGGGACGCCGCAGAGGGUGAGAGCCCCGUACGGUAGGACGCCGAGCCUCUGUGAAGCUCCUUCGACGAGUCGAGUAGUUUGGGAAUGCUGCUCAAAAUGGGAGGUAAACCCCUUCUAAAGCUAAAUACUGGCCAGAGACCGAUAGCGCACAAGUAGAGUGAUCGAAAGAUGAAAAGCACUUUGAAAAGAGAGUUAAAAAGCACGUGAAAUUGUUGAAAGGGAAGCGCUUGCGACCAGACUCGCGCCCGUCGGAUCAGCCGUCGCUUGCGGCGGUGCACUCCGGCGGGCUCGGGCCAGCAUCAGUUCGCCUCGGGGGGAGAAAGGCGGCAGGAAUGUGGCUCUUCGGAGUGUUAUAGCCUGCCGUAUAAUACCCCCGGGCGGACUGAGGACCGCGCGUAUGCAAGGAU